CAGAACCUACAAAGAACUCAAUCAAAUUUACAAGAAAAAUACAACCCCAUCAAAAAGUGGGCAAAGGAUAUGAAGAGACAUUUCUCAAAAGAAGACAUUCAUACAGCCAACAGACACAUGAAAAAAUGCUCAUCAUCACUGGCCAUCAGAGAAAUGCAAAUCAAAACCACAAUGAGAUACCAUCUCACACCAGUUAGAAUGGCGAUCAUUAAAAAGUCAGGAAACAACAGGUGCUGGAGAGGAUGUGGAGAAACAGGAACACUUUUACACUGUUGUUGGGAGUGUAAACUUGUUCAACCACUGUGGAAGACAGUGUGGUGAUUCCUCAAGGAUCUAGAACUAGAAAUACCAUUUGACCCAGCCAUCCCAUUACUGGGUAUAUUCCCAAAGGAUUAUAAAUCAUGCUGCUAUAAAGACAGAUGCGGGGAGACGCACCCGCUUCCAAAAUGGCGGCGGCGGCGGCCGUGUCUGGUGCGCUUGGCCGGGCCGGCUGGAAGCUCCUGCAGUUGCGGUGCCUGCCUGUGACCCGUUGCCGACCAGCCCUGGUGCCACAUGCCUUCCAUGCUUCAGCUGUGGGGCUAAGGUCUUCCGAUGAGCAGAAGCAGCAGCCUCCCCCUUCAUUUUCUCAGCAGCGUUCUGAGACACAGGGGGCAGGAAAACCUGAUCCAGAGUCUUCUCAUCCACCCCCCAGGUAUACAGACCAGGGCGGCGAGGAGGAGGAAGGCUAUGAAAGUGAGGAGCAGCUGCAGGACCGCAUCCUGACGGCAGCCCUGGAGUUCGUGCCCACCCACGGGUGGACAGCAGAGGCGAUUGCAGAAGGAGCCCAGUCUCUAGGUCUGUCCAGUGCAGCAGCCAGCGUGUUUGGGAGGGAUGGCAGUGAACUAAUACUGCAUUUUGUGACCGAGUGCAAUGCCCGGCUCACACGCGUGCUGGAAGAGGAGCAGAAGCUGGUACAGUUGGGCCAGGCCGAGAAGAAGAAGACAGACCAGUUCCUGAGGGAUGCAGUGGAAACCAGACUGAGAAUGCUGAUCCCAUACAUUGAGCACCGGCCCCAGGCCCUCAGCGUCCUCAUGCUCCCUCACAACAUCCCAUCCAGCCUGAGCCUGCUCACCAGCAUGGCGGAUGACAUGUGGCAUUACGCUGGGGACCAGUCCACUGAUUUUAACUGGUACACCCGCCGAGCCAUGCUGGCUGGCAUCUACAACACGACAGAGCUGGUGAUGAUGCAGGACUCCUCUCCAGACUUUAAGGACACUUGGCGCUUCCUGGAAAACCGGAUUAAUGAUGCAAUGAACAUGGGCCACACUGCCAAGCAGGUAAAGUCCACAGGAGAGGCACUGGUGCAAGGACUCAUGGGUGCAGCGGUGACGCUCAAGAACUUGACAGGUCUAAACCAGCGUCGGUGAGAGGAAAGGGUGUAAGCUACAAUGCCUAGAAGAGAAUGAGUGGACAGAUUGAAAGAGCUUUGAAAAGUAUGAGGUGCCAUCCGUGUAACGUGGUGUUCAUGAGAACACACUAAAGGACCCCUGAGACACUACCACAGCCACCUGGAAACCACAAGGCAUUUGAUGCUACCGUUCUGGUCAGGGAUUGGGCCGCUUCUUCAGUUCCUAAUACCAGACCAAGCCUCCUGAUGCCUUUCUGCACUGCAAUUGUGUGAUUGAAAAAUGAGAUGUUCAUCCAAGCAGUCAAGCCACAGAAACCCAGCAUGUCCCUGUUACGAUCUCAUGGGCACCUUGAUCAUGUCUUAACCUUCCAUUAACCUUGGGGCUCCCAAGCCAGAGUCAAGGUGACGCAUGCCUCAUGCCACCUCAAGGUGACAGCUCAUCCCCAGCACAGCACAGGCGUGUGCACACAGAGGUGUUCCUUGCACCCCCCUUCCCUCUCAGGUGUCCUGAGAUGCUACUCCUGGGAAACCCCUCAGAAAACUGCCUCACCUGAGACAAGUGCCUGCUGGACAGAGGUGUGAUCCCAG
RNA transcript from Macaca mulatta (Rhesus monkey), 1975 nucleotides. It is a transcript of the gene named ubiquinone biosynthesis protein COQ9, mitochondrial pseudogene, with no coding region annotated. The record is from RefSeq and is a predicted model, not a curated record. Lineage: Eukaryota; Metazoa; Chordata; Mammalia; Primates; Cercopithecidae.